AUACGGGGGGGACGAGCGUUGUUCGGAUUUACUGGGCGUAAAGGGGGUGUAGGCGGUUCAGAUAGUCCUUGGUGAAAUCUCCCAGCUCAACUGGGAGGGGUCUGAGGAUACUUCUGGACUUGAGGGCAGUAGAGGAGAGUGGAAUUCCCGGUGGAGUGGUGAAAUGCGUAGAUAUCGGGAGGAACACCCGUGGCGAAAGCGGCUCUCUGGGCUGUACCUGACGCUGAGGCCCGAAAGCGUGGGGAGCGAACCGGAUUAGAAACCCCGGUAGUCC
This 274-nucleotide ribosomal RNA is filed under the name uncultured bacterium. RNAcentral's name for it is "partial 16S ribosomal RNA". It matches the Rfam family "Bacterial small subunit ribosomal RNA", at positions 523 to 796 of the family's 1533-position model. The record is from RNAcentral.